UUUAGAGUAAGUUCUCUGUUCUGAAGCCUUGGCACAGGCUGACAUCCUUCUUACAUAUUUUACUGAAUUGCAGAUGUGAAACUGGUGCCCUUUCCUGUGAAGCUAACCACAGCACUGGCCCAAGAGUCACAGAAGAUAAAGGAAGAGACCCAAGAGGAGUUGGACGAGCAAGUCCUGCUGCUGCUGCAGACGCUGCACACACUGGUCUAGGAUUUUGAGAAACUGAAGGAGGAGAUCCAGCUGUUGCUGGAGUGACUGUCAGCUGGCCCUGCUCCACUUAGACAAGGCUGGAGUGGCAUCAUCUCAGCU
RNAcentral lists this long non-coding RNA (309 nucleotides) under Homo sapiens (human). RNAcentral describes it as "HSALNT0204357". The record is from RNAcentral. Lineage: Eukaryota; Metazoa; Chordata; Mammalia; Primates; Hominidae.